This 532-nucleotide ribosomal RNA is filed under the name Salmonella enterica. RNAcentral's name for it is "partial 23S ribosomal RNA". It matches the Rfam family "Bacterial large subunit ribosomal RNA", at positions 657 to 1187 of the family's 2925-position model. RNAcentral also lists the same sequence under 2 other names. The record is from RNAcentral. Lineage: Bacteria; Pseudomonadati; Pseudomonadota; Gammaproteobacteria; Enterobacterales; Enterobacteriaceae.
AUAGGGGAGCCGGAGGGAAACCGAGUCUUAAUUGGGCGUUAAGUUGCAGGGUAUAGACCCGAAACCCGGUGAUCUAGCCAUGGGCAGGUUGAAGGUUGGGUAACACUAACUGGAGGACCGAACCGACUAAUGUUGAAAAAUUAGCGGAUGACCUGUGGCUGGGGGUGAAAGGCCAAUCAAACCGGGAGAUAGCUGGUUCUCCCCGAAAGCUAUUUAGGUAGCGCCUCGUGAAUUCAUCUCCGGGGGUAGAGCACUGUUUCGGCUAGGGGGCCAUCCCGGCUUACCAACCCGAUGCAAACUGCGAAUACCGGAGAAUGUUAUCACGGGAGACACACGGCGGGUGCUAACGUCCGUCGUGAAGAGGGAAACAACCCAGACCGCCAGCUAAGGUCCCAAAGUCAUGGUUAAGUGGGAAACGAUGUGGGAAGGCCCAGACAGCCAGGAUGUUGGCUUAGAAGCAGCCAUCAUUUAAAGAAAGCGUAAUAGCUCACUGGUCGAGUCGGCCUGCGCGGAAGAUGUAACGGGGCUAAAC